CCUACGGGAGACAGCAGUGAGGAAUAUUGGUCAAUGGGCGCAAGCCUGAACCAGCCAAGCCGCGUGAAGGAUGACUGCCCUACGAGUUGUAAACUUCUUUUUUACAGGAAUAAAGUGUACUACGUGUAUCUCUUUGAAUGUACUUUACUAAUAAGGAUCGGCUAACUCCGUGCCAGCAGCCGCGGUAAUACGGAGGAUCCGAGCGUUAUCCGGUUUGAUUUGGUUUAACGGGAGCGUAGAUGGGUUGUUAAGUCAGUUGUGAAAAGUACCGGCUCAACCGUAAAACUGCAAUUGAUACUGGCAGUCUAGAGUGCAGAUGAGGUAGGCGGAAUUCGUGGUGUAGCGGUGAAAUGCUUAGAUAUCACGAAGAACACCGAUUGCGAAGGCAGCUUACUAAGCUGCCACUGACGUUGAGGCACGAAAGCGUGGGGAGCAAACAGGAUUAGAUACCCGGGUAGUC
This 460-nucleotide ribosomal RNA is filed under the name uncultured bacterium. RNAcentral describes it as "partial 16S ribosomal RNA". It matches the Rfam family "Bacterial small subunit ribosomal RNA", at positions 338 to 795 of the family's 1533-position model. The record is from RNAcentral.